AGGGGGAGCUCUGAAAGGGAAAAGAGAUGAAAUGGGAGACAUUGUUUAGAAGGCAUAGACAUGGGUGAAGGCAGAAGAGAAAGUCUACCUGGUAAAGCAAGAUAAUGGAGAAGGAAAGCAGAAAUGGGGCCAAGAACUGGCAUGGAACAGCUCAUCUUAGGAGGGAAAAGGCCACGAUCUCUUCCUCCUUUGAGAUGAGAAAACCGAGACACGGAGCAGCUCAGUACCUAACCCAAGACCACACAGGUAAUAAGGCCUCAAGGGUGGAUUUUAUCCAGACAGCCUGGUUUCAGAGGCUUCAGUCCUUAGUUACUGCCUCUAUUUUCUCUAGAAUUUUCUUAGAAAGAUUGAAAAGGAAUAAAUCCCUGUUCUUCCUAGUCUAGCUUCUACCUUCUGUAAGUAUGCAUGCACUACUUGCUGUAGCUUUAGAGGCCUAUGGUUGGCAAGGUAAAGGCCUGGAACGUCAUUCCUCCCAAUCACUGGGAUUGAGGAUGCACGUAGCUGAUGUGGAGGUGAGAGGGGAGCUCAAUGGAAUCAAGAAAUGGACAGACUAUGAUGGACCUCCAAAUAUGUACUGCAAUUAUUGAGUUAAAGAUGGAAGAGCUCUACUCUGGCUGUGCUAACUCACUGUGUGAGCAUGGGCUUCAGUUCCCUCAGCUGCUCAAAGUUGGGGUGGAGUAAAACAGUCUCUAAGGUUCCUUUCCUGUGCAAGAAAAGGCUUUUCCAAUAUAUGGUGGCAUGGUUCUAGUAACCCAGGGGCAGCCCAGCCACAUCCUUAUAAGCAUAGCGGAUGGGAAGAGGGAGGGUGAUGAUUUAUCGUAUUUAUUCUUAAAGGGAUACAGGGAGAAAGUCACUGGAAAGCCGUAACAUUGUGCACCAUUACUAUACUAGAGUUUGUGUUAGGGAUACAGAGCAGGUUCUACCUCGCAAGCGUGAAGCUUUUCAUUUAAAAAAAUCUACGUAGAGGCCUCUUCGCACAAUUCCACAAUACUUUAUUUGGGACAGUAUGAUGACAGACCCUCUGCUAAACAAAUGAGGAUAUGUUAAUGAAUUGAGGAUGCGUUAGUGACAGGUAUUAGGUUCAAUCACACAUAAUUUGCUUUGAGGGAGUGCUAUGGUUUGAAUGUGUCUCCCAAAAGUUCAUCUGUUGGAAACUGAAUCUGCAGUGCAACAGUGUUGGGAGGUGCAGCCUAAUAACAGGUGAUUGGGUUAUGAGGGAGGAGUCCUCAUGAAUGGAUUAAUGUCCUUAUGGCAGGAGUGGGUUGCUAUAAGGCGAGUCCAGCCCCUGGGUGUCUCUUGGUCUCAUGUGCUGGCUUCCACCUUCCACCCUUCUGCCAUGGGAUGACCCUCGCCAGAUGCCAGCCCCACAGUCUUGGAUUUCACAACCUCCCCAGACCAUGAGCUAAAUAAAUUUCUGUUCAUUAUAAAUUA
This 1431-nucleotide long non-coding RNA is filed under the name Homo sapiens (human). Its description in RNAcentral is "HSALNT0383060". The record is from RNAcentral. Lineage: Eukaryota; Metazoa; Chordata; Mammalia; Primates; Hominidae.